UCGGCCUUCAUCCCAUCUUCAUUUUUCCGCGUCGAGUCGAAGUGCGGACUCGCCACCGUCUCCUUCAUCGCGUGCGCACCCCAUACACGCAGCCAACUUGACAGGUGGCGUUGGCGACACAUCUGCGCUUUACGUUUCCUUUUUAUGGCGUGAGUGUGCCCUCUGGUCGGAAGCCUGUGGACCCCCUUCUCGCCCGCUGACGGACAGCGGCCAGCCGACCUCACCAUCACGAAGACGUCUCUGCGUGCGCUCGUCGACCAUUGCUUCUUGUUCGCCUCUCCACCUUCCCUGCCCACCACCCAUCGGCACGCGCCACAGCACGUAAGGGGCCAGAGGCAGAACUGAAAGAUGUUCCUGGAGGUGUUCGUUGACCCGUUUGUGCUGUUCUGCACGUUGUGCAUCCUGACGCCGUUGUUUGUCGCCCGUGACGCGCUGACUACCGAGAUGGUGCAGGCGUAUUUCAGGGAGCCAAGCACAGCCUGCGCACUGGCCGCCGUCCCGGCUGCGUGGCUGAUCGGCAUCGGGUGGCGCUGGCGCGUUCAUCGCUCCCUCCGCCAGCGAAAGGCAUACCAGGAGGCGCACAAGUCCGAGAUGGAUCCUCAUGAGCUGAUCAACUACGAUAGCAUGAUGGCGCCCCUCACCUACGAGGAGCGCACCCGCGCGCGGUGGUACCUACUGAACGGCAUAGUCGUACACAUGUUCAUGGAUGGCUGCGUCGGCGUCUUCAAGACAAACCCGUUGCUUGCGGAGAACUACGCAAAGGUCGACGCGCGAUACGCGAGCGAGCUUGGCAGCCUCAACGGCUCGGCCGUGCACGUGGUGUCGCUCAUAGAGCUAUUCGUCAAGGGCCCUCUGUGCGUGCUCUUGUACUGGGCUUUCCAGGUGCGUCACCCCAUGCGCGACGCCCUCGAGUUUUUCGCGUGCGUCACGCAGGCGUACGGCACAAUCGUGUACCUCGGCCAAGAGGUUAUCAGCGGAGCGCCGAACCUCGACGUUGACCACGACCUCACCUUCAGCCCACACCACCUCUUCUACUUCUGGUUCGCAGUCGUCUUGGGCUGUGUGCUGUACCUGCUGGUACCCGCCGUGCUGGGCUGGCGCAGCUACGUUCGGCUGCGCAACCACUGCACUUUCUACAUGCAGCACCACUACAGCCGCCGCAGCGAUGGGCGUCGCAGUGGCAGCCACCUGGCCCCGCACAUGUGAGCGCGGUGGCAAUGUGAGGUGGGCGAGGGCAGGGUUGAUGGAAGGCGACGCUCAGGAGUGUCUCCCAAGAACAGCAGUACCGUGUCGGAGGACCAGCUCGCAUCUGCCGGCCGGCAAGCCGACCACCAGAUCAUGAAGACUCCACUUUCUGGGACCAGCACACGCGCGCCUCUGCUCCUGUUCUUCCUCAGCGUCGGGGGCGUGCGUGGACACGAUAGAGCCAUCCUUUGCACUAUGUUGUAUUGCGUUUCUUGUGCGUGUGUGUCUGUGGAGGUCUGACCUCAUUCC
RNAcentral lists this unclassified non-coding RNA (1494 nucleotides) under Leishmania donovani. RNAcentral describes it as "gene:LdHU3.16.0420(CDS-product:3-Beta-hydroxyster oid-delta(8)_delta(7)-isomerase_putative)". Lineage: Eukaryota; Euglenozoa; Kinetoplastea; Trypanosomatida; Trypanosomatidae. The record is from RNAcentral.